CGGGUGUUGGUAUAAUGGCUAUUAUUUCUGACUUCCAAUCAGAAGAUGAGGGUUCAAUUCCCUUACACCCGUCCA
This 75-nucleotide transfer RNA is filed under the name Caudoviricetes sp. RNAcentral describes it as "tRNA-Gly". It matches the Rfam family "tRNA". From Rfam's summary of the family: Transfer RNA (tRNA) molecules are approximately 80 nucleotides in length. Their secondary structure includes four short double-helical elements and three loops (D, anti-codon, and T loops). The record is from RNAcentral. Lineage: Duplodnaviria; Heunggongvirae; Uroviricota; Caudoviricetes.